This 518-nucleotide unclassified non-coding RNA is filed under the name uncultured Glomus. RNAcentral's name for it is "SSU rRNA". It matches the Rfam family "Eukaryotic small subunit ribosomal RNA", at positions 569 to 1093 of the family's 1831-position model. The record is from RNAcentral. Lineage: Eukaryota; Fungi; Glomeromycota; Glomeromycetes; Glomerales; Glomeraceae.
CGCAGCCGCGGUAAUUCCAGCUCCAAUAGCGUAUAUUAAAGUUGUUGCAGUUAAAAGCUCGUAGUUGAAUUUCGGGAUCAAUAUGUUGGUCGUGCCUUGGUACGUACUGGCGUCAUUGAUUUCCACCUUCUGAAGAACCUCGAUGUCAUUAAUUUGGUGUCUUGGGGAAUCAGGACUGUUACUUUGAAAAAUUAGAGUGUUUAAAGCAAGCUCACGCUUGAAUACAUUAGCAUGGAAUAAUGAAAUAGGACUUUUGAUUCUAUUUUGUUGGUUUCUAGGAUCGACGUAAUGAUUAAUAGGGAUAGUUGGGGGCAUUAGUAUUCAAUUGUCAGAGGUGAAAUUCUUGGAUUUAUUGAAGACUAACUACUGCGAAAGCAUUUGCCAAGGAUGUUUUCAUUAAUCAAGAACGAAAGUUAGGGAUCGAAGACGAUCAGAUACCGUCGUAGUCUUAACCAUAAACUAUGCCGACUAGGGAUCGGAUGAUGUUAAUUUUUAAUGACUCAUUCGGCGCCUUAACC